RNAcentral lists this ribosomal RNA (269 nucleotides) under Solanum lycopersicum (tomato). RNAcentral describes it as "partial 18S ribosomal RNA". It matches the Rfam family "Eukaryotic small subunit ribosomal RNA", at positions 761 to 1046 of the family's 1831-position model. The record is from RNAcentral. Lineage: Eukaryota; Viridiplantae; Streptophyta; Magnoliopsida; Solanales; Solanaceae.
AGAAAUUAGAGUGCUCAAAGCAAGCCCAAGCUCUGGAUACAUUAGCAUGGGAGGAUUUCGGUCCUAUUGCGUUGGCGUUCGGUUUCGGAUGUAAUGAUUAAAAGGGACAGUCGGUUACUUCAUAGUCAGAGGUGUAAUUCUUGGAUUUAUGAAAGACGAACCACUGCGACUGCAUUUGCCAAGGAUGUUUUCAUUAAUCAAGAACCGAAAAGUUGGGGCUCGAAGACAGUCAGAUACCGUCCUAGUCUCAACCAAUAAACGAUGCCGAC